This is a long non-coding RNA of Lathyrus oleraceus (garden pea), 655 nucleotides long. RefSeq lists it as uncharacterized. The transcript has 2 exons. NCBI's taxonomy places the organism in Eukaryota, Viridiplantae, Streptophyta, Magnoliopsida, Fabales, Fabaceae. The record is from RefSeq and is a predicted model, not a curated record.
AUAAUUAAAGAAAAAGGUGCAUGUGAGCCUUGUACACGCGUGCUAAGCCCAGUUAGAGAUAGGGUAUUCUGCUAUGUGAAUGGGUACGAAGUCAGAAUUUCACUUUGGUGAAGUUAGAAUUCCUCACCUGUUCAGUGAGUUGCUAGGAGGAAAAAAAACAGAUCGGCCGGGAGAAGAGCCCUGUCGUAUCGCCGCUGUCAGCGAUGCCAAAAUGGUGAAACCUUCGCGCUUUCUGCUCCGACCUCCUCUAACCGCAACGGUAAACAAACCUCAGCGCCGAUGUACUAUUUCUCAGCAAGCGACGACGAGGAUGGCGGCUUCGUCGAUGACGCCAACGUCGUGAAUCCGGUGACCUCUUCGCACUAGCCACUCCUUCCUCUUACUUUUCUUUCACUAUCGAUUUGCUUCUGGUCAUAGCUCUGAGAUGACCUGAUGGAAUGGAAGGUGGAUGCUCCAAGCUUCAAGACAACCUGUUUUUGUGACUAAGUCCAAAGUGAUUUCAUCCUAAUUGCUUGGUUUUGGUCAUUAGGAACCUAUUUCCAUCUGUAGCAAUUUUUUCACUGUAAUUACUUAGUUUAGUUUUUUUUAGACAAAUGUGUGUUUGGAUUAUUUGGGACUUAUUGAAUUAAAUUUUAAUUAUGUAAUUACCUUUUAA